GCAAGGAAUAUUGGGCAAUGGGCGAAAGCCUGACCCAGCGACGCCGCGUGAGGGAUGAAGGCCUUCGGGUCGUAAACCUCUUUUCUCAGGGAAGAAUAAUGACGGUACCUGAGGAAUAAGUCUCGGCUAACUACGUGCCAGCAGCCGCGGUAAUACGUAGGAGGCUAGCGUUAUCCGGAUUUACUGGGCGUAAAGGGAGCGUAGGUGGUGCGUUAAGUCAGAUGUAAAAUAUCUCGGCUUAACCGAGAAGGACCAUCUGAUACUGGCGUACUAGAGGGCAGCAGAGGGAGGCGGAAUUCCCGGUGUAGUGGUGAAAUGCGUAGAUAUCGGGAGGAACACCAGUGGCGAAGGCGGCCUCCUGGGCUGCUCCUGACACUGAGGCUCGAAAGCGUGGGGAGCGAACAGGAUUAGAAACCCUAGUAGUCC
Molecule: ribosomal RNA, 426 nt
Filed under: uncultured bacterium
Lineage: Bacteria
Description: bacterial SSU rRNA
Rfam family: Bacterial small subunit ribosomal RNA
Source: RNAcentral